UUAACUGUCGCCUAUUGGCAAGUGUUUACAUUUUGGCCAGGAUGGUCUUGUGACUUCAAUGGGACAAAGUGAUCAAAUUAAAGGUGAAUUAUAAGGGUUCUCAUCGAUUUUUUCGCAGUCUUUUUGAUGGUAUGUUGCAGGACAUGACAUCAGAUUUUAAAAAGGUGAUGGACCUGACCUACCCCAUCACUUCUACGUUCUCUGGCGCUGACUUCAACUCCAGCAUUUACAGUGUUCAAGGGCAAGCAGAUUGGUGAGGACGAGACACCUUCACAGCACAGCUGGAGUUAGUCUUGGGACUAACUGGCAGAGAAAGUGAAUGUGAGCCUCUCUCACAGUGCUGUACAGAUGUGGCUGCCCUACGUGUGUUGUGUGCAUCAGUGAAGAGCAGUGACUACUGCGAGUACAUCAGACCGCCCACAAACCGCUACCGCACACUGGAGUUUGGCAAGUUCGACAAGAUCCUUGUGAGUCUCACUCCUUGUCUUCGACAUGGGGAGUUGGUCUGUCAUUCAGUGUCUUUUUUGCUUCCUCUUGCUCUCCCUCUUACUCUAGACCACACUUCUUCACACUUCAUCUAUCUUUCCUCCUCCUUAGUCAAAAGUGUGAAAAGGAUUUAAAGGAUUGCCGGAGAUUAGCUACAUUAGAUUCAGCCUUUGUUUGUGUGUGAGAAUGAUGUGUGUGUGCAGGAGGUGGGUUACCAGCAUGGCAACACUGUGUUCGAUGUGUGGAUUCACAGUGGAGUGGUGGAGAUCAUGCUGUAGGACCACCACCAGGAGGAGUCUCGUAACACACACAGCAACAACAAUGUGAGGGAGGGAGUAUCAGGGAGGGAGGGAGGGAGUAUCAGGGAGGGAGAGAGUAUCAGGGAGUGAG
Molecule: long non-coding RNA, 876 nt
Filed under: Oncorhynchus kisutch (coho salmon)
Lineage: Eukaryota; Metazoa; Chordata; Actinopteri; Salmoniformes; Salmonidae
Description: lncRNA (ENSOKIG00005025536.1)
Source: RNAcentral